UGUUUAAAAUUAUCUUUGACUGAAUUUAUGAUUGACUAACUUCAGGACAGCUUGUAAACUAAUAAUAUUGUGGAAAAGUUUGAUUAUGAAUAGGAAGCCAAGAUAAAAAACUGCAGUGUUCAAAGCAGGCCCGAGCUGCCUGGAUAACACAGCUAGGAAUAAUGAAAUAAGACUCCUGUUCUGUUUUGUUGGUUUUCAGAAGUGAGGCCAUGAUUCAGAGGGAUGGCCAAGGGCACUCAUCUUGAGUCGCUGGAGGCUAAAUUCUUGGACUGACACAAGACAGACCAAAAUGAAAGCAAUGGCCAAGAAUGUUUUCAUUAAUCAAGAAGAAAAGUCAGAUAUUCAAAUAUGAUGGUUUUCCAACCAGAAACAGUGCAGACUGACGGUGCAGCAGUGUUACUCCCAUAAGCCUCCAGGUAACUUCUGGGAAACCAAAGUCUUUGGGUUUCA
This 450-nucleotide non-coding RNA is filed under the name Loxodonta africana (African savanna elephant). RNAcentral's name for it is "Eukaryotic small subunit ribosomal RNA". It matches the Rfam family "Eukaryotic small subunit ribosomal RNA", at positions 656 to 1115 of the family's 1831-position model. Lineage: Eukaryota; Metazoa; Chordata; Mammalia; Proboscidea; Elephantidae. The record is from Rfam by way of RNAcentral.